AAAAAUGUCUCAAGAAGAGGUAAAUGUGUUUCGAUUGGAAAUGGAGGGCAUUACAGUUAAAGGAAAAGGUUGCCCCAAACCAAUUAAAUCCUGGGUCCAGUGUGGAAUUUCCAUGAAGAUCUUAAAUUCCCUCAAGAAGCAUGGCUAUGAAAAGCCCACGCCCAUCCAAACCCAAGCUAUUCCUGCUAUAAUGUCUGGACGAGAUUUGAUUGGCAUUGCCAAAACAGGAAGUGGAAAGACCAUUGCUUUUCUGUUGCCCAUGUUUAGACAUAUCAUGGAUCAGAGGUCAUUAGAGGAAGGAGAGGGGCCAAUAGCUGUCAUCAUGACUCCAACUCGAGAACUGGCUUUACAGAUUACUAAAGAGUGUAAGAAGUUUUCCAAGACUUUGGGACUUAGAGUGGUCUGUGUUUACGGAGGAACAGGAAUCAGUGAGCAGAUUGCUGAGCUGAAAAGAGGUGCUGAAAUUAUUGUUUGCACACCUGGUCGAAUGAUUGACAUGUUAGCCGCUAACAGUGGCCCUUCAAGAUUUAUAGAACUGGGCUUCCGAGACUUAAACCAUCAAAGGUCGGGUCACAAAUCUUCGAAGAGUGACAUAUGUUGUUUUAGAUGAAGCGGACAGAAUGUUUGACAUGGGUUUUGAACCCCAGGUCAUGCGCAUCGUGGAUAAUGUUCGUCCUGAUCGACAGACGGUUAUGUUUUCAGCUACUUUCCCCAGAGCUAUGGAGGCUUUGGCUCGCAGGAUCCUGAGUAAACCUAUUGAAGUACA
Molecule: small RNA, 766 nt
Filed under: Pan troglodytes (chimpanzee)
Lineage: Eukaryota; Metazoa; Chordata; Mammalia; Primates; Hominidae
Description: processed transcript
Source: RNAcentral